Molecule: ribosomal RNA, 492 nt
Filed under: uncultured bacterium
Lineage: Bacteria
Description: partial 16S ribosomal RNA
Rfam family: Bacterial small subunit ribosomal RNA
Source: RNAcentral
AGUGAACGCUGGCUGUAGUCCUAACACAUGCAAGUCGAACGGCAGCACUGUAAGAUCUUGCUCUUACGGGUGGCGAGUGGCGGACGGGUAAGGUGUACAUCGGCACCUACUUUUUCGUGAGCCAUACCGUAGGGCAACUUACGCUACUACCGCAUAAGACCUACGGGUGAAAGCACGGCAUCUUCCGACCUUGCGCGAUUGAAUGAGCCGAUGUCGGAUUAGCUAGUUGGCGGGGUAAAGGCCCACCAAGGCGACGAUCCGUAGCUGGGCUGAGAGGAUGAUCCGCCACACUUGAACUGGGACACGGUCCAGACUCCUACGGGAGGCAGCAGUGGGGAAUUUUGGAGAAUGGGCGGAAGGCUGAUCCAGGCAUACCGGGUGGGUGAAGAAGGCCCUCGGGUUGUAAAGCCCUUUUGUUAGGAAAGAAAAGCAGCAGCUUAAUACCCGGCGGGUCUGACGGUACCCAGAGAAUAAGCAACGGCUAACUUAGGG